This 64-nucleotide transfer RNA is filed under the name Fukomys damarensis (Damara mole-rat). It matches the Rfam family "tRNA", at positions 5 to 66 of the family's 71-position model. Rfam says of the family: Transfer RNA (tRNA) molecules are approximately 80 nucleotides in length. The record is from Rfam by way of RNAcentral. Lineage: Eukaryota; Metazoa; Chordata; Mammalia; Rodentia; Bathyergidae.
GUAUAGCUCAGUUGUAGAGCAUUUGCCUAGCAUGCAUUAAAGCUCUGGGUUUAAUCCCCAGUAC